This 408-nucleotide ribosomal RNA is filed under the name uncultured bacterium. Its description in RNAcentral is "partial 16S ribosomal RNA". It matches the Rfam family "Bacterial small subunit ribosomal RNA", at positions 28 to 526 of the family's 1533-position model. The record is from RNAcentral.
GACGAACGCUGGCGGCGUGCCUAAUACAUGCAAGUCGAACGAAGUGGCGAACGGGUGAGUAACGCGUAAUCAACCUGCCCUUCAGAGGGGGACAACAGUUGGAAACGACUGCUAAUCCCGCAAACUGAAGGAGGGGAUUGCGUCUGAUUAGCUAGUUGGAGGGGUAACGGCCCACCAAGGCGAUGAUCAGUAGCCGGUCUGGGAGGAAGAACGGCCACAUUGGGACUGGGACACGGCCCAGACUCCUACGGGAGGCAGCAGUGGGGGAUCUUCCGAAAUGGACGAAAGUCCUACGGAGCAACGCCGCGUGAGUGAUGACGGCCUUCGGGUUGUAAAGCUCUUUUAAUCGGGACGCGGUACCGGAAUAGAAAGCCACGGCUAACUACGUGCCAGCAGCCGCGGUAAUUC